GAUGAAGAACGUAGCGAAAUGCGAUAAGUAGUGUGAAUUGCAGAAUUCAGUGAAUCAUCGAAUCUUUGAACGCACAUUGCGCCCGCCAGUAUUCUGGCGGGCAUGCCUGUUCGGGCGUCAUUUCAACCAUCAAGCCCUGCUUGCGUUGGGGUCCUGCGGCUGCCCGCAGGCCCUGAAAACCAGUGGCGGGCUCGCUAGUCACACCGAGCGCAGUAAUACAUCUCGCUUUGGGCGUGCGGCGGGUUCUUGCCGUUAAACACCCCCUUUUUACCAAGGUUGACCUCGGAUCAGGUAGGAAUACCCGCUGAACUAAAGCAUAUCAAUAAGCGGAGGA
RNAcentral lists this unclassified non-coding RNA (334 nucleotides) under soil metagenome. Its description in RNAcentral is "partial contains 5.8S ribosomal RNA, internal transcribed spacer 2, and large subunit ribosomal RNA". The stretch from base 1 to 120 matches the Rfam family "5.8S ribosomal RNA", at positions 35 to 154 of the family's 154-position model. The record is from RNAcentral.